GGGCUGUUAGCUCAGUUGGUAGAGCAGCUGACUCUUAAUCAGCGGGUCGCAGGUUCGAGCCCUGCACAGCCCACCA
Molecule: transfer RNA, 76 nt
Filed under: Alphaproteobacteria bacterium
Lineage: Bacteria; Pseudomonadati; Pseudomonadota; Alphaproteobacteria
Also listed under: 2 other names
Description: tRNA-Lys
Rfam family: tRNA
About the family: Transfer RNA (tRNA) molecules are approximately 80 nucleotides in length. Their secondary structure includes four short double-helical elements and three loops (D, anti-codon, and T loops).
Source: RNAcentral